This 253-nucleotide ribosomal RNA is filed under the name uncultured bacterium. RNAcentral's name for it is "partial 16S ribosomal RNA". It matches the Rfam family "Bacterial small subunit ribosomal RNA", at positions 524 to 776 of the family's 1533-position model. The record is from RNAcentral.
GACGAACCGUGCGAACGUUGUUCGGAAUCACUGGGCUUAAAGGGUGCGUAGGCGGGCAGGUAAGUCAGUGGCGAAAUCUCCGGGCUUAACCCGGAAACUGCCGUUGAUACUAUCUGUCUUGAAUAUCGUGGAGGUAAGCGGAAUAUGUCAUGUAGCGGUGAAAUGCUUAGAUAUGACAUAGAACACCGAUUGCGAAGGCAGCUUACUACACGAUCAUUGACGCUGAGGCACGAAAGCGUGGGGAGCAAACAGG